RNAcentral lists this ribosomal RNA (264 nucleotides) under uncultured bacterium. RNAcentral's name for it is "partial 16S ribosomal RNA". It matches the Rfam family "Bacterial small subunit ribosomal RNA", at positions 91 to 353 of the family's 1533-position model. The record is from RNAcentral.
GUUAGUGGCGGACGGGUGAGUAACGCGUGGGUAACCUGCCUUGUACUGGGGGACAACAGUUGGAAACGACUGCUAAUACCGCAUAAGACCACAGCACCGCAUGGUGCAGGGGUAAAAACUCCGGUGGUACAGGAUGGACCCGCGUCUGAUUAGCUGGUUGGUGAGGUAACGGCUCACCAAGGCGACGAUCAGUAGCCGGACUGAGAGGUUGAACGGCCACAUUGGGACUGAGACACGGCCCAGACUCCUACGGGAGGCAGCAUG